Long non-coding RNA from Pleuronectes platessa (European plaice), 973 nucleotides. RefSeq lists it as uncharacterized. The transcript has 2 exons. NCBI's taxonomy places the organism in Eukaryota, Metazoa, Chordata, Actinopteri, Pleuronectiformes, Pleuronectidae. The record is from RefSeq and is a predicted model, not a curated record.
UGCCUGGCUCCCUAUUGGCCCAAGCUCUGAUGAAUACUGAUUUUGGAUAAAAGGGAUCAGAAUAUGGAUAGGCAGAAAAGGGCAGAGAUAGCUCCAAUUGAAGAUGAAGUAAAGCAGCAGAGAGGAGACGCUGCACUGCCUGGGAGUAAAUGGCUUUGUGAUGCAAGAGCAGGGGCCAUUCAAGGAGAUGGAGCAGGGGGGCUAUAGGUGUGAUUGCCCAGAGACGAGGGGUCUCUGAGAAAGAUGAUUUUCACACCAAGAGACUCUCAAAGCGUCUGAGCAGAAUCCACAUGUCAUUGUGUUGUAGACUUCAGAGAAGGCCCAUGGACAUUGAUGGAGACAGAAUGUCUGAUCAGUCUGAUCACGACACCCAGAGAGCUGAUUGGAGAACAUUCUUCUCCUGUGUGAGGAGGAGUCUUGUUUAGUAUAAAUGAAGUGGACUUUCCAUGGCUCAGGGCCAUUGUGUGAAAAUCUGUCACUGUGAUUGAACCAUUGUGCCCCGUCCGCAGACGUUUGAAUUAAAACACCAGAAGAUAUUUGUAUGGCUGCGUCCUGUAUUGAAAUUCCUAUAACAUCCUCUAUCAUGCUUUCUUGGUCUGGUCACUCCCAAUCCUUGUACCAGUGUCUUGAACCAGAGUGACGCUGGACAGGUUUGGGGGGGGCUGUGCUAAGGAGUGGUUGUGUUAUGUGCUGGAUUAUCUCUGGCUGACUUAUGUUUUCAUAUCUAUUUUCCUUGUCAUCUCGGUAUUUGGUGUUGUGUUUUCUUCUGUCUUUGACUCAAUAAAAUAAACAUUGAUGUUAUUCCACACAAAUGAGGAUUUGAAUGGCCGCGAUUUGUUGUGGUGUUUCUUAAAACUUGUUGGGGUUUGAGUAUACAGCUGUGUCCAUUGUCACUGUGUUACUGAGUCUGACAUAUACUUGAUGUGUUACUUUGUUUAAGUCUGGCAAAUAAAAGAAGACUGGACAUUUCAAA